GAGAAUUUUAGUACAUUUACAAACCCAUUCCAAAUUCAAGUAUUCUUAGCCAACAAAUUCUCCGAAGUUUCUAAUAAUUCUAUCAGACUACACUUUUAAUCAAAAGCUGUACAUUUGGCAACUACAUUUACCAAUAGCUAACCUACUGAUACAUUUUUAUCAUGUACAACUAUGUAUGUACAUAUAUUUAUAUAUCCAAUAAUAACUAAUCAUGCAUAAGGCAGCAAUGAUGAUUCCUGGAAUGCCUAUUUUGUUGAAUGACCAAAAUUGAACCACUGAUGUUGAAUUCCGAAGAUGCCAGGAGAUCUCCAACGGUCCCCAGCUCUGGACACUCUUCCCAGUCACUCAAACCUGUUGUCAUGGGUGAGUACCCUCGUGCACCCUUCCCUAUUAUGAUCAAUGAAUACAUCUCCUUAAUUUCAUUUAGAACCUCCAGUGUUUCCAGCCCAUUGUUGACAUGCUUCUCCAAAUAUCGAACUUUACCCGACGAAACAUAUCUAAACAGAAAAUCAGUCAUGUAACAGAAGGCAACAAAUAGCACUUAAGAUCAGUUUGGUAUUGUUGUUUACAAUGUUAAGAAAAAUCCCACCUUUAAAUUUGUCAUUUAUAGGCUUAAAUUUCUAGGGUUAAGUUUGCUACAGGAUAUAUACCUUUUGCAGAAAUCUUCCAUGGAGACAUUGUCUAUUGCAUUCUCAACCUCAGAGGCUGAUAUUGUCAGAAGUACUUCAUCAUUGCUGAUGGAUGCAUUAUCUUGCUCUCCCAAUGUCGCUUGUUGGAAGCGGAUGACAGUCAAAUUAAUACGAGGGUGACAGGCAAUUCUUUUGCUAAAUGCCAAUGCUUCACGAUCAUCAGGGCCUCCGAAAAAUAAUGUUACUACAUUCUGCUCCACUUCAGGGUUAGGCUGUUGAAAGCCAGUCUGACCUUUAUCCACAAAGAUCCCAAUCGAGCACCGGGCAUGACGAAGAAUCUUCUGAUUAUUCAUUCUAACACCUUCCUUACUGAUUUCCAUUUUCCCAUCAAGGCGUUGAUGCUUGUGAUAAGUGAGGAUUAGAAUAGAUACGCGGAAGUCCUCAACGCUGUUGCAGACAUUCUCAAACAUGGCUGCAAAGGAUGAAACAACUUUUUUAAUGUAAACAAUAACUUUAGUCUCUGUACUGAAAUUAUCUACAGCAUCAUUUAUCUCUAGCACAUCAUUUCCACCA
RNAcentral lists this unclassified non-coding RNA (1202 nucleotides) under Hevea brasiliensis (rubber tree). Lineage: Eukaryota; Viridiplantae; Streptophyta; Magnoliopsida; Malpighiales; Euphorbiaceae. The record is from RNAcentral.